UAAUACAUGCAAGUCGAGCGGACAGAAGGGAGCUUGCUCCCGGAUGUUAGCGGCGGACGGGUGAGUAACACGUGGGUAACCUGCCUGUAAGACUGGGAUAACUCCGGGAAACCGGAGCUAAUACCGGAUAGUUCCUUGAACCGCAUGGUUCAAGGAUGAAAGACGGUUUCGGCUGUCACUUACAGAUGGACCCGCGGCGCAUUAGCUAGUUGGUGGGGUAAUGGCUCACCAAGGCGACGAUGCGUAGCCGACCUGAGAGGGUGAUCGGCCACACUGGGACUGAGACACGGCCCAGACUCCUACGGGAGGCAGCAGUAGGGAAUCUUCCGCAAUGGACGAAAGUCUGACGGAGCAACGCCGCGUGAGUGAUGAAGGUUUUCGGAUCGUAAAGCUCUGUUGUUAGGGAAGAACAAGUGCGAGAGUAACUGCUCGCACCUUGACGGUACCUAACCAGAAAGCCACGGCUAACUACGUGCCAGCAGCCGCGGUAAUACGUAGGUGGCAAGCGUUGUCCGGAAUUAUUGGGCGUAAAGGGCUCGCAGGCGGUUUCUUAAGUCUGAUGUGAAAGCCCCCGGCUCAACCGGGGAGGGUCAUUGGAAACUGGGAAACUUGAGUGCAGAAGAGGAGAGUGGAAUUCCACGUGUAGCGGUGAAAUGCGUAGAGAUGUGGAGGAACACCAGUGGCGAAGGCGACUCUCUGGUCUGUAACUGACGCUGAGGAGCGAAAGCGUGGGGAGCGAACAGGAUUAGAUACCCUGGUAGUCCACGCCGUAAACGAUGAGUGCUAAGUGUUAGGGGGUUUCCGCCCCUUAGUGCUGCAGCUAACGCAUUAAGCACUCCGCCUGGGGAGUACGGUCGCAAGACUGAAACUCAAAGGAAUUGACGGGGGCCCGCACAAGCGGUGGAGCAUGUGGUUUAAUUCGAAGCAACGCGAAGAACCUUACCAGGUCUUGACAUCCUCUGACAACCCUAGAGAUAGGGCUUUCCCUUCGGGGACAGAGUGACAGGUGGUGCAUGG
RNAcentral lists this ribosomal RNA (1017 nucleotides) under Bacillus australimaris. Its description in RNAcentral is "bacterial SSU rRNA". It matches the Rfam family "Bacterial small subunit ribosomal RNA", at positions 49 to 1048 of the family's 1533-position model. The record is from RNAcentral. Lineage: Bacteria; Bacillati; Bacillota; Bacilli; Caryophanales; Bacillaceae.